This 292-nucleotide ribosomal RNA is filed under the name uncultured prokaryote. Its description in RNAcentral is "partial 16S ribosomal RNA". It matches the Rfam family "Bacterial small subunit ribosomal RNA", at positions 505 to 796 of the family's 1533-position model. The record is from RNAcentral.
GUGCCAGCCGCCGCGGUAAUACGUAGGGUGCGAGCGUUAAUCGGAAUUACUGGGCGUAAAGCGUGCGCAGGCGGUUGUGCAAGACAGAUGUGAAAUCCCCGGGCUUAACCUGGGAAUUGCAUUUGUGACUGCACGGCUAGAGUGUGUCAGAGGGGGGUAGAAUUCCACGUGUAGCAGUGAAAUGCGUAGAGAUGUGGAGGAAUACCGAUGGCGAAGGCAGCCCCCUGGGAUAACACUGACGCUCAUGCACGAAAGCGUGGGGAGCAAACAGGAUUAGAAACCCCCGUAGUCC